GAGUCAUUGGGACACGUGCUAAACCUAAAGGCGCAAUGAAAGUAAAGGUCCGCCGCGCGCGGACCUAGGGAGGAUGGGACCGUCCACGGGCGGACCCCGCACUCCCGGGGCGUCUCGUUCUCAUCGCGAGGAGAGGCGCACCCAGAGCGUACACGCUGGGACCCGAAAGAUGGUGAACUAUGCCUGGUCAGGACGAAGUCAGGGGAAACCCUGAUGGAGGUCCGUAGCGAUUCUGACGUGCAAAUCGAUCGUCGGAACUGGGUAUAGGGGCGAAAGACUAAUCGAACCUUCUAGUAGCUGGUUCCCUCCGAAGUUUCCCUCAGGAUAGCUGGCGCUCGCCUUCGCGAGUCUCAUUCGGUAAAGCGAAUGAUUAGAGGCAUUGGGGUCGAAACGGCCUCAACCUAUUCUCAAACUUUAAAUGGGUGAGAUCUCCGGCUUGCUUGAAAGUUGAAGCCGCGAGAGAAUUUAAAAACACUAUCGGAUCGAAGAGUGCCAAGUGGGCCACUUUUGGUAAGCAGAACUGGCGCUGUGGGAUGAACCAAACGCCGAGUUAAAGCGCCAAAAUCGACGCUUAUGGGAUACCAUGAAAGGCGUUGGUAACUUAAGACAGCAGGACGGUGG
Molecule: ribosomal RNA, 621 nt
Filed under: Glyphoderus sterquilinus
Lineage: Eukaryota; Metazoa; Arthropoda; Insecta; Coleoptera; Scarabaeidae
Description: eukaryotic LSU rRNA
Rfam family: Eukaryotic large subunit ribosomal RNA
Source: RNAcentral